CAAUUUUUUGAGAGAUUAAUUCAUUUUUGAAAUCCAAUCUCUACUCUCUCUUUCUUCCCUACGAAAAGACCUUCUUCUUGGUGAUUUAGGGUCUUUUAUUUUGGAUAUUUUGGAGAGAAAUAUUCUAGGUUUUUGGGUUAGAUUGCUGACCGCUUUCUUCCUGUGUGGAGACUCCAUUUUUGGUGAUUUUCAGAUUUGCGAGAGAGACUUUAUUCUUGUAUUUUACUGCCUGAUUAUUGGGGCUUUAUAGUGCAAUCGAGAUUUAUCCAUUUUAAUGGACACUCAAUAUGGGAAUAAACAUUAGAAGGGGUUUCGAAACCUCUGGGGCUUCGGUUGAAAAAAUAUUGUGUUCAUUUUACAAUUUUCUACACUUUAUUUUACUGUUUGUUUUGUUUGGUUUAAAUCUUGAUUAAUUCUUAGACGCUCCUCGAAUUUUCAGUGGUAUCAGAGCAAUUUUGGACUACUGGAGCGUCUCUGAUUCCUGUGAAUUGACUGGAUUCUGAAAUUUUCCUUCAAACUGCAGUAAACAUUGGCUGGUGGAAAUUGAGUUUUAUCAAACUCGUUUGGUGAGAUCUUUCUUGCAUUCUGUAAUUAGUUUUUACAGUAGAGUCUAUAGGAAUUGAUAUCUCUGUUCUUUGUGAUCCUGCCUCUUAUACUUAGUGUUAAGUGUUUACUGUUUGUGAAAAUUGUAUAAGUGCAUUGGUCAUUGGCCCCUGAUCCCCUAGUUUGCCUGCAGUAUUUUUAUUGUGUGUCCUAAUGUGUUCUUAAAAUCAAACUUGUGUACUGUGAACUUUCUUAGUGAAUCUUGUCAUGGCUACUACUAAGUUUGAAUUGAGCAUGUUUAAUAGGAAGGGGGACUUUAAUAUGUGGAGCCAGAAAAUGAGGACUAUCUUGAUGCAAAUGAAAUGUGUUAAAGCCCUAGAUAAUUCAUGGCCUGCUGAGAUGUUUGUUGCUAAAAGAACUGAGUUAGAAGAAAUAGCGUGGAGUACUAUUUUCUUGUAACUUUUGGACAAUGUGAUCAGGUGUAUAGGUGAAACUAAAACUGCUGAAGAAUUGCGGACCAAAUUGAAAGCUCAAUAUGAGCCAAAAAUUAUUCCAUACAAAUGUUUUUUGCUAAAACAAUUCUUUUCUUUCAAAAUGGACCCUUCGGUUGACUUGGAUGAAAACUUGGACAAAUUUAUGAAAUUGACCCAGGACCUUGCCAAUUGUGAUGAGAAAUUAUCUGAAGAUCAGCUGGUUGUGGUCUUGUUAAACUCCAUUAGUGAUAGGCAUAGAGACUUAAAGAAUACCUUGGAAUAUGGAAGAGAUAAGCUUACCACCGAUAUCAUCAUAAAUUCCUUGAGAAAUAUGGUUCUUGAAUUAAAAUCAGACUCUAUCAACCAUCAAAGGGGAGAAAAUAUUUUGUUAAAAGGAAAAAAUGUUGGUAAAUCUAAUUUUCAUUCAAAAUUUCAAAAUGACCCUAAGAAAAGAAACAAUGACAAAAUGAAAUCCAAAACUAGGGCAAAUGGAAAGAAAUGUUUUUAUUGUGGUAAGUUGGGUCACUUUGCAGGGAUUGUUACAAAAAGCAAAAUGAUUUGAAAGGAAAGAAGCUAAGUGAAGGUAAUGCUGUUAUGUCCUAUGACAAGAAACAAAUUGAUAAUGGCCUGGUUCUUGUAAAUGUUUGAUUCAGGUUGCUCUUUCCUCAUGUGCCCUAAUAAAACUAUUUUUUCGAUUUUGAACAAACAAAAGGAGGUCAAGUUAUCAUUGGAAACAACAUGACCUGCAAAGUGAAAGGUAUUGAAACAAUAAAAUUGCUUUUGGAAAAUGGCAGAAUUUUAUUAUUAAAAGAUGCCAGAUUUGUUCCUAAAUUAGAAAGAAGCCUUGUGUCUCUAGGAAUGCUGGAUGACAUGGAGUUUGACAUAAAAGUGGGUCAAGGACAUAUUAAAAUCUUUAGGGGUAGUGAUUUGAUCACAAAGACAUGGUUUAUACUUUCUAAAUGCAAAACCUUUAUUGAGUCUUUCAGCAGCUGUUUUAGAUGAUGAAUUUAAUCUUGCAAAAUUGUGGCAUUGUAGACUUGGUCACAUUGGAGUAAAAGGUUUAAAGGCUUUACAAAAUAAAGGUUUAUUUGGAAAAUCAAAUAUUGGUGAAUUGGCUAAACGUGAACAAUGUUUGAUUGGAAAGCAAGUUAAAUUACCUUUUCCCACUAGUACUCAUAAAUCAAAACAAAUUCUAGAAUGCUUACAUGCUGAUUUGUGGGGUCCUGCAUCCACCCCUACAUUGUCUGGUUACAAGUAUUAUUUGCUUAUUAUUGAUGAUUUCUCAAGAAAAAUUUAGGUAUUUCUUUUGAAAACUAAAGAUGAAACAUUUACUACAUUUAAAGAUUGGAAAACCCAAAUUGAAAAUUAAAACUUUGAGAACGGACAAUGGACUAGAAUUUUGCAAUUGUAAGUUUAAUGAUUUUUGCAAGUUGCUUGGCAUCUUAAGACAUAGGACUGUAACAUACACACACUCAGCAAAAUGGCAUUGCAGAAAGAAUGAAUAGGAUUUUGUUGAAUAAAGUUAGAUGCAUGUUUUUAAAUUUGGGCUUGCCCAAAUUAUUUUGGGGUGAAGCUGUUAAAACCGCUGCAUAUUUGAUUAAUAGAAGCCCUACGAGUGCUUUAAAUUUUGAUGUGCCUGAAUUUGUGUGGACAGAAAAGCCUGUGAUUUAUUCUUAUUUGAAAACAUUUGGUUGUGCUGUAUAUGCUCGUCAAAACAUAGGUAAACUUGAACUUAGAUCACAUAAAUGUGUGUUUUGGGCUGUGCUGAAAAUGUUAAAGGUUACAGUUUGUGGGUUUAUGGGAAAAAAGUUUACAGGGUUAUCAUAAGAAAGGAUGUGGUCUUUAAGGAGUCAUGUAUGCCAUGUUUGGAAGGGAAAAAGGGGAAAUUUGACUGAAAAUGAUGUCCAAAUUAAGGUGGAGCCUAUUAAAAUAGAUAAUACCAGUUCUGUCCCCUUAGAAACAGCAACUAAUGAGGCUGACCAGAAUGAAAAUGAGCCUGAUUUGGUCGAACCUUAUUUAUGUGAUGACAUAAAUAUACUUCUAGAUGAAUACCAGCUCACUAAAGAUAGGGAUAGGAGGCAAAUUAGACCACCGGCUAGGUUCAAUUGUGAUGAAUUUGUGUUUUUGUUCACUUACCAAGAAGAAAUUGAAUAUGAACCUAGUUCCUAUCAUGAAGCCUUGAAAUCUAAAGAUUCUAAGCGGUGGUUGAGUGCUAUGGAAGAAGAAAUCUCUUCCUUAUAUAAGAAUGAAACUUGGCAAUUGGUUGACAAACCAAAGGAUAAGGAAUUAGUUGAUUGCAAGUGGGUUUAUAAAAUAAAGGAAUGGAAAGGUGGCACUAAUAAUGUUAGAUACAAAGAUAGACUAGUUGCCAAGGGUUUCACACAAAAAGAGGGUGUGGGCUAUGAUGAGAUUUUUCCUCCGUGGUUAAAUAUACAACUAUAAGAUGUAUUCUUGCUUUAGUUGUGCAAUUUAAAUGGAAAUCAACUAAAUGUAAAAAAUGCAUUCUUGUAUGGUGAAUGGAAUAAAUGAUCUACAUGAGACAACCUCUAGGAUUUAUUAAGGGAAAUCCUGAAAAAACUAUGUGUUUGUUGAAAAAAUCAUUAUAUGGCCUAAAACAAGCUCCAAGACAAUGGUAUAAAAGAUUUGAUUCAUUUGUCUUGAAACUUGGGUUUAUUAAAAGUAAUUAUGAUACAUGUCUUUAUUGUAAAGGAAGUGAAGGUAAAGAUUCAUUGUAUCUUGUGCUUUAUGUUGAUGAUAUGCUUCUUGCUAGUGCCAAUAAAUUUGAAAUUGAUGAUAUCAAACAUAAAUUAAAAUCAAAAUUUGAUAUGAAGUAUCUUGGUCCUGCUUAGAAAAUACUUGGCAUGCAAAUUAUUAGAGAUGAGAAAUCUGAUUGCUUGUUCUUAUAUCAACAAGAUUAUGUGAAUAAGAUCUUAAAGAGGUUUAAUAUGUUUGAUUGUAAACCUAUGACUUUACCCCUUACUAAUCACUUUAUAUUAACAUCUUAUUCGUGUCCUAAAACUGAAGAUGAACUUGAAAGAAUGUCUAAAAUUCCUUAUGCUAAUGCUACUGGUUCAGUCAUGUACUUAAUGAUUUUCACCAUACCUGAUUUGGUUUUUAGUAUUAGUGUUUUGAGUAGAUUUAUUGGAAAUCCUAGUGAAAUUCAUUGGGAAGCAUUGAAGUGGUUACUGAGAUACUUAAACUGUUCAUCUAACUUGGGUUUGAUGUUUAAAAUGGACAAAGAUGGGGUAAUUUUAAAAGGUUAUACAGAUUCUGAUUUUGCUGGAAAUAGAGACAAUAGACUUCAUCUUAUUUUUACACUUUGUGUAGUACUAUGAUAAGUUGGAAAUCUCAGUUAUAAAAAAUUGUUGCUCUAUCUUCCACGAAGGCUGAAUAUAUUGCUGCCACUAAUGCCAUUAAAGAAGGCAUAUAGCUGCAUGGUUUGUUGAAUGAACUUGGUUUUAUAGACAUUAAUCCAAUACUAUAUUCUUACAAUCAAAGUGCAAUCCAUUUAAGUAAGAAUCUCAUGUUCCAUGAUAGAACUAAGCAUGUUGAUGUAAAAUAUCGCUUUAUAAGGGAUAUUACAUCAAAAGGAUUGCUGAAAAUAAAUAAAAUUCCUCCUUUGUAUAAUUCAUCAUAUAUGGGAACUAAGGUGAUACCUUUAAAUAAGUUUCAAAACUAUUUAAAGAUGUUAUCUAUUGAUUCUUUUCAUUGAUUAUACAGGUACUUGGAGCAAAUGACAUUAUAAAUGUUGGUGAAACUCGUAGGUGCACUAUAGCCUUAAAUUUUGGAAGCAAGGUGGAGAUUGUUGAGAAUUCAACCUGCUGACCAUUCUUUACUAUUAAUUGUGCUUCCAAAAUUGAAGAAAACGUGUUUACAAAAUAACAACUUCUUUAGUGGAGACUUUCAUCUAGAUUUCGACACCUGGCAUCAUGAUGUCCAUCAGAUCAGAAUCUAUUGACUUGCAAUAUAUAAAUCUGGUGCGAUUCUGACUGGGGAUGACAGCAUUAAUUUUUUGAGAGAUUAAUUCAUUUUUGAAGUCCGAUCUCUGCUUUCUCUUUCUUCCCUGUGAAAAAGACCUUCUUUUUGGUGAUUUAUGGUCUUUUAUUUUGGGGAGAAAUAUUCUAGGUUUUUGGGUCAGAUUGCUGACCGUUUUCUUCCUGUGUAGAGACUCUAUUUUUUGGUGAUUUUCAGAUUUGCGAGAGAGACUUUAUUCUUGUAUUUUACUGCCUGAUUAUUGGGGUUUUAUAGUGCAAUCGAGCUUUAUCCAUUUUAAUGGAUGCUCAACAAGGGAAGGCAUUAGAAGUGGUCGCCGAACCUCUGGGGUUUCGGCCGAAAAAAUCUUGUGCUCAUUUUACAAUUUUCUGCACCUUAUUUUACUAUUUGUUGUGUUUGGUUUAAAUCUUGAUUAAUUCUUGGACGCUCCUCGACUUUUCAAUUUUCUAUCACUGUUUCUAUCUAAACAUAAAGUAGAUUAUUGGCAAGAAUUGAAAUUUUGUUUAAAUUUCACUGUACACGAUUAAGUAAAUUCUCAAUAGAAGUACCAAUACACAUGGCUACCUAUGCCCCCCACCUAGAUUGGACAUCGAGAUGGUAUCAACUUUGAGCUAUAUUGGGGUCCGUAUAUAGGACUUUACAGGAAAGCACCAGUGCAAUUAGGCAACUGCAAGAUGGACAAGACACCUUCGUGAUUACCCUCUGCAAUAUAGAUGAGCGGCAGCAUUGCUAUCGCGAGAAAUUAUUGAUACUCAUGGGACGCCUCAAUGAUUACCAUGACGUCCCAUAUGUUACUGAUGAUGGCAACCAGAUAGUAGCUCCACUCCAUAGAGAGUAGUAAACUCUUAUUUUAUUUUUAUUGCUUACAUUGAGGAGAAUUGUAAUUGAAGUUUAGGAGGUAUGGUUUGUAAUAUCGUAUUUUGUUAUGUUUGAUUGCGAGUGAUUGUUUUUAUUUUCAUUUCCAA
Molecule: long non-coding RNA, 5974 nt
Filed under: Olea europaea subsp. europaea
Lineage: Eukaryota; Viridiplantae; Streptophyta; Magnoliopsida; Lamiales; Oleaceae
Source: RNAcentral